RNAcentral lists this long non-coding RNA (235 nucleotides) under Elaeis guineensis (African oil palm). Its description in RNAcentral is "long non-coding RNA (EGUI_LNC077480)". Lineage: Eukaryota; Viridiplantae; Streptophyta; Magnoliopsida; Arecales; Arecaceae. The record is from RNAcentral.
CUAUGAAUAUAUAUAACAUCCUGAACAAUCUAUAUGACUACCUGUGGACAUAUAUGAUAUCUUGAACAAUAUAUAUAACUUCCUAAUAUCUUAUAUAACUCCUUGUCAAUAUAUAUAGCAUCAUAAAUAAUGUAUAUAACUUUCUAUGAAUAUAUAUAUAACAUUCCGAACAAUAUAUAUGACUUCCUAAUGCUUUAUAUAGCUUCCUAUUGGCCAUAUAAGGCAUCAAGAAGUC